AGUGGAAUAACUGGGUCAAAUGGUGGCUCCAUUUCAGGUUUUUUGAGGAAUCUCCAUACUGCUUUCCAGAGUGGUUGCACCAAUUUGCAGUCUCACCAGCAAU
This 103-nucleotide microRNA precursor is filed under the name Marmota monax (woodchuck). Lineage: Eukaryota; Metazoa; Chordata; Mammalia; Rodentia; Sciuridae. The record is from RNAcentral.